UGGGGAAUAUUGGACAAUGGAGGAAACUCUGAUCCAGCAAUUCUGGGUGUGUGAAGAAGGUUUUAGGACUGUAAAACACUUUUAGUAGGGAAGAAAAAAAUGACGGUACCUACAGAAGAAGCAACGGCUAAAUACGUGCCAGCAGACGCGGUAAUACGUAUGUAGCGAGCGAUAUCCGGAAUUAUUGGGCUUAAAGGGCAUCUAGGCGGUAAUACAAGUUGAAGUUGAAAACCUGUGGCUCAACCAUAGGCUUGCCUACAAAACUGUAUAACUAGAGUACUGGUGAGGUGUGUGGAAGUACUCAAGUAGAGAUUAAAUUCGUAGAUAUGUGUAGGAAUACCGAUGAUGAAGAUACCUCACUGGACAGAAUCUGACGCUGUAGUGCGAUAGCUAGCGGAGCAAACAGG
RNAcentral lists this ribosomal RNA (407 nucleotides) under Verrucomicrobiota bacterium. RNAcentral describes it as "Verrucomicrobia bacterium partial 16S ribosomal RNA". It matches the Rfam family "Bacterial small subunit ribosomal RNA", at positions 355 to 776 of the family's 1533-position model. The record is from RNAcentral. Lineage: Bacteria; Pseudomonadati; Verrucomicrobiota.